RNAcentral lists this ribosomal RNA (253 nucleotides) under uncultured bacterium. RNAcentral's name for it is "partial 16S ribosomal RNA". It matches the Rfam family "Bacterial small subunit ribosomal RNA", at positions 524 to 776 of the family's 1533-position model. The record is from RNAcentral.
GACGAACCGUGCAAACGUUGUUCGGAAUCACUGGGCUUAAAGGGCGCGUAGGCGGGCUGGCCAGUCAGGGGUGAAAGCCCACGGCUCAACCGUGGAAGUGCCUUUGAUACUGCCAGUCUGGAGGGAGGUAGGGGCGUGCGGAACUUUCGGUGGAGCGGUGAAAUGCGUAGAUAUCGGAAGGAACACCGGUGGCGAAAGCGGCGCGCUGGACCUCUACUGACGCUGAGGUACGAAAGCUAGGGGAGCGAAUGGG